GCUCUGUGUAGAUGUCUUUGUGGUGUCAC
Molecule: non-coding RNA, 29 nt
Filed under: Homo sapiens (human)
Lineage: Eukaryota; Metazoa; Chordata; Mammalia; Primates; Hominidae
Source: RNAcentral